RNAcentral lists this ribosomal RNA (377 nucleotides) under uncultured Glomus. Its description in RNAcentral is "SSU rRNA". It matches the Rfam family "Eukaryotic small subunit ribosomal RNA", at positions 569 to 953 of the family's 1831-position model. The record is from RNAcentral. Lineage: Eukaryota; Fungi; Glomeromycota; Glomeromycetes; Glomerales; Glomeraceae.
AGCAGCCGCGGUAAUUCCAGCUCCAAUAGCGUAUAUUAAAGUUGUUGCAGUUAAAAGCUCGUAGUUGAAUUUCGGGGUUAGUAGGUUGGUCAUGCCUCUGGUAUGCACUGGCCUCACUGAUUCCUCCUUCCUGAUGAGCCGUAAUGCCAUUAAUUUGGUGUUGCGGGGAAUUUGGACUGUUACUUUGAAAAAUUAGAGUGUUUAAAGCAAGCUAACGCUUGAAUACAUUAGCAUGGAAUAAUGAAAUAGGACGUUCGAUCUUAUUUGUUGGUUUCUAAGAUUGACGUAAUGAUUAAUAGGGAUAGUUGGGGCAUUAGUAUUCAAUUGUCAGAGGUGAAAUUCUUGGAUUUAUUGAAGACUAACUACCGACGAAAGCA